GCUGGGUGCUGUGGUGCACACCUGCAGUCCCAGCUAUUUGGAGGCUAAGACAAAAGGAUUGCUGAAGUCCGGGAGUUCUGGGCUGUUGCGCGCUAUGUUUGGCAUCAAUAUAGGACCUCCCAGGAGCAGGGGGCCACCAGGUUGCCUAAGAAGGGGUGAACUGGCCCAGGUUGGAAAAGGAGCAGGUCAAAACUCCUGUGGUGAUCAGAAGUGUGAUUGCUCGGCCGGGCGCGGUGGCUCACUCCUGUAAUCCCAGCACUUUG
This 263-nucleotide long non-coding RNA is filed under the name Homo sapiens (human). Its description in RNAcentral is "non-protein coding lnc-PEPD-5:1". It matches the Rfam family "Metazoan signal recognition particle RNA". From Rfam's summary of the family: The signal recognition particle (SRP) is a universally conserved ribonucleoprotein. It is involved in the co-translational targeting of proteins to membranes. The eukaryotic SRP consists of a 300-nucleotide 7S RNA and six proteins: SRPs 72, 68, 54, 19, 14, and 9. The record is from RNAcentral. Lineage: Eukaryota; Metazoa; Chordata; Mammalia; Primates; Hominidae.